This 403-nucleotide ribosomal RNA is filed under the name uncultured bacterium. RNAcentral's name for it is "partial 16S ribosomal RNA". It matches the Rfam family "Bacterial small subunit ribosomal RNA", at positions 30 to 526 of the family's 1533-position model. The record is from RNAcentral.
AUUGAACGCUGGCGGCAGGCCUAACACAUGCAAGUCGAGCGAGCGGCGGACGGGGGAGUAAUGUAUGGGGCCUGCCCGAUAGAGGGGGAUAAAUACUGGAAACGAUGGCUAAUACCGCAUACAAUCGGAUAACCCAUAUGGGAUUAGCUAGUAGGUGGGGUAAAGACUCACCUAGUCGACGAUCGCUAGCUGGUCUGAGAGGAGGAUCAGCCACACGGGAACUGAAACCCGGCCCAGACUCCUACGGAGGCCGCAGUGGGGAAGAUUGCACAAUAGGCGAGAGCCUGAUGCAGCCAUGCCGCGUGUAUGAAGAAGGCCUUUGGAUUGGAAAGUACUUUCAGCGGGGAGGCGUUACCCGCAGAAGAAGCACCGGCUAACUCCGUGCCAGCCGCCGCGGUAAUUC